UACGAAGGUGGCAAGCGUUGUUCGGAUUUACUGGGCGUAAAGGGAGCGUAGGUGGUUAGGUAAGCCCUCCGGGAAAUCUUCAGGCUUAACCUGAAAAGGUCGGGGGGGACUGCCUGGCUAGAGUCCGGUAGGGGAGCGUGGAAUUCCUGGUGUAGCGGUGAAAUGCGCAGAUAUCAGGAGGAACACCAGCGGCGAAGGCGGCGCUCUGGGCCGGAACUGACGCUGAGGAGCGAAAGCGUGGGUAGCAAACAGG
This 253-nucleotide ribosomal RNA is filed under the name uncultured prokaryote. RNAcentral's name for it is "partial 16S ribosomal RNA". It matches the Rfam family "Bacterial small subunit ribosomal RNA", at positions 524 to 776 of the family's 1533-position model. The record is from RNAcentral.